RNAcentral lists this ribosomal RNA (253 nucleotides) under uncultured bacterium. Its description in RNAcentral is "partial 16S ribosomal RNA". It matches the Rfam family "Bacterial small subunit ribosomal RNA", at positions 524 to 776 of the family's 1533-position model. The record is from RNAcentral.
AACGUAGGAGCCAAGCGUUAUCCGAAUUCACUGGGCGUAAAGCGCGAGCAGGCGGUUCGUUAAGUUGGAUGUGAAAUCUCCUGGCUCAACUGGGAGAGGACGUACAAGACUGGCGGACUGGAGGGCAGUAGAGGGAGGUGGAAUUCCCGGUGUAGUGGUGAAAUGCGUAGAUAUCGGGAGGAACACCAGUGGCGAAAGCGGCCUCCUGGACUGCACCUGACGCUGAGAUGCGAAAGCUAGGGGAGCAAACGGG